UCUAAUACAACUCCUUGCAAAGUUUGGUGCAAUUUGGAGGUGUCUAGGACCCUCAAAACUGCUAUCAAAGUGCAAUUCCAGAAGGUCUCAACCUGUUCUAUCUCUCCUCUCUCUAUGACCGGUGGGUCCCAGCUGUCAUGCUUCGUCUUCCACGUAGAGGCAGCUUGUUGGUGGCAAUGGCAGGGCUUCUCUUCGCCGUAGAUCUUCAUCCUUGCAUCGUGGCCGUAGCCCAUGCCUAUUUAAGCUCCCCCUGGAACCCUAGCUCCCAUUUCAUCCCCUUUUUCCCCGAGCUCCCGACCCAAGCCGCCGCCAUGGAGGACCUCGCUGUCGUCAAGCUCUUCUAGUGAAACGAGCGAAUCGAGCUCAUCUUCGUCGAGGCCGGCCAAGCUUUCUUCCGCUCGAUUUGUUGUCUCCGCUCCAUCACCCGGAAGCGUCGUCUCCGUCGACUGUGCCGCUGCCGCCCGACGUCGCCGUGGUCCUGCUUUGUUGAGCCUGCCGAGCUGCAGUGACCGCGUCAACACGAAGCUGGUGAGCUCCUCGCCUUUUCCAGUCCAAAUCCCGUGUGUUUUCGUGUACUGUAGAGGUAGACCGGCCCUGCUCCGGCGAGCUCUGGCCACCGGCCAUGGCGUGCGUGGUGGCCUCUGGCCACAAUCUCCCCCCAGCUCGAUCUGCAGGUGACGAAGAGGGUGUGCUUAGUGAGAACGAUUCGGACUACGAGCGGGGUGAUCAAAUUGCUCGCUACUUGCUUAUGUUGGUCAUUGGCAUGAGUAAGGGUUGAUUGUGGUAAUCUUAUAUUUUGCUAGUCAAUUGGUAUUGAUUAUGCUCUUCAUCUUGUAUAUCCAUGUUUGUAUGAUAAGUGUCGAGUCAUGCUUUUGGAAUCUUGGUAGACUUGGUAACCUUGAGCAUGAUGUUGAGCUUAUAUUUUAAUUGUUUUUCAGCAUGCCAUGAGUAGAGAGCGAUGUCUCUAUGAUAAUUAAAACUGAAACUAAAAUUGGUAGACUUGAGUGGGUACCCGUCAUUUGGUCUUUAUCCCACUUAGGUCAAUUAAGGGCCGAAUUCUUGUGCCAUUGAUCCUAGCCACAAUCGUACUACCUCAUUGACUGUUAUGGGACAGUCUUGACCAACUAAUUCACCUAGCUCUAACAUGGUGGGUGCUAUUUUUCAUUUGGUAGUUUUCCUUGGUUGGAUUUGGUCUUCGGACAUGGUGUCCCCAUUAAAAAGGGCAUGGUGUCGCUUUUUGUGCUUCUCUCUUGCAAAUUGGAACAUACCCCACAAUUCGAUGGAUCAUAAACAAACUUGGACUUCGACCGCAACCUAUGGACCAGGAUAACGCUUUCUAGAAGCGCCCUGGAAUAAACCUAUGGGCAGCUAGUAUGUUAGAGUGAAGUGUUGUAAAGGUCUUGUAACAAAUUAUCAUCCCGCUUUCUACGGAAUGAUGAGAUGUUUCGGUGAGGGUAAAGUUGUACACCCCUUGCAGGGAUAAAAUCUAUUCGAAUAACCAUGUCCACGGUCAAGGACAUGCUUGGUUAUAUCACACUUGAGUUAGAGUCACUCAUACUUGGUGUUAGUCCUAUGUGCCAAUUGGAAUUGUCAUAACAUUCCAUUGUUUAAAUCUGAGGUUUAUACUUGAUGCUUAUGCAUACUUGCUUAUAUCCAUUGAGUUGGUAUAAUAUUGAUGCCAUGGUAACUAGUUCAUGCAUGCUUGUCCCAUUCCUUAUCAUGCUUAAGCUAGUUUAUCUUGUUUUAUGUCACUUGUGAGUGAAUGCCAUGCUUCCUAUGUUUAGGUAAUAGCAUGACAUGAUUAUGUAUCACUUUUGGGUUACAUUUGACAUGCUUUAGGCCGCUUUUAAGGUGUAUUACAAAUCUGGACAGAUUGGUAAAAAUCUGGAAUACUUGUCUCUUGCCAUGCUUAAUUGUGUAGUUGUGAUGCCUAUGGUUAUGCUUUUAUGUCCAGAUUGUUCCCCACCUUUGAUGCAAUGUUUUAGAUGAUCUUAAUACAUUGUAUGACCUGUUUAUGUGUUGUUUAAGUGGUUAAACUUGUUGAAAGACAUCAUGGUACAAAUCUGUCCUUUACAUGCUUACUUGAUGUUCAUUGCUAGCAAUUGUUUCGUAUGCUGCCCAAAAAUUUCAGAACUGUUUGGGAAUUGAACCUAGGUGAUUUUACAUGUUAUUAUGAUGUCCUUUAGAAUGGAAACCAUGAUGGUUUAGGUGCUGGUCCGUUUGGUUCAGAUCUGGACUUUUGCUUGUCUAAGAGACCUCACUUGCAAUCUUUUGCUACUCUUUAACCUUGACUGAUGAGCAUGUCAUGGAACAAAUUAAAAUGAACGAAAGUAAGACUUGCUGAGUACCCUGAGAACUCACCCUUGCUGUUGACACAUUUUUGCAGAGGAAACCCCACUGGAGAGCGAUAAUGAUCUCGACCGUGACCGGAACCGUGACGAGUAGUCAGCCCCUUGGGUUGAUUUUGUUGGUGCUACCCGGGCUGUAGCACGGAUCUAGCCCAGCUAGUUGAUACAAGAUAUAGGACUUUUUAGUCCAUGUAUUUGACUCCGGACUGCAUAGCCCAUCCAUCCAGGCCCGGCGUAGCACCCCCACUCUUCCAACCCAACAUCGUACAGGCCAUGCCACGGGCAGCCCAAGCACAUCACGACGCUCUGUCGAUCGAUCUGCCUGAUUGAUCAACUCCCGCGGCUACUCGUCUUCUCCCUGCCCGCCUGCCUUGUUCCCCAAUUUUCAGGCAACGAAGAAACCGAAGCCGCCGGCCGCCACCCUAGCCCUAAGAUCCUCAAAUCCCUAGCCACCUGUCCCAGCCACAGCAGCAAUCGCCACCCGGCGGGGGUCUGCACAGCACGCGACGAGGUGGAGGCAGAUCCCUUAUUGGCUGCAGGGACUGAUUAGCUGAUUCCAACCCAGUUCCCAAUUGCUUUUGGUUCGUGUUUGGAUUAGAAAGUUUGAGUGAUUUAUGAAUCAUGAUCCACGAUGCUUGCUGUUCGAGGUCUAACUAGAUUAUUUUUAACUUAAAUGGAGAUAUUCUAUCCAAGAUUACAAGGUUCAAGUAGUGCAGAGCAUAAACGAGCACGCAUCGAGCUUAAUAAACGAGCACGCAUUGAACGAUAAAUGUUUUCAGCCGUUGAAGAUGGGGUUAUUUUGAAGACAUUUCAAGGUUACAAGAAUCGCAAAGGCCAUUUAUCCAUAACCAUCGUCAGAACUUAGUGGUAUGUUUUGUAUUUCUACUUUUAAUCUUAUUAUGGCAUGUUGUCAUUCUCAUUUAAAAUGUCCUUAGAUUAACUUUUAUUGCUUUAGAGAACGAUUGAAGUGUUUGGGUCGUUGAUCGCGUACAUUUAGUACAGUGCAAUUUUUUAUUAUCGUUUAGAAUUUUUUUUGAGUGUAUCAUAAGUUAGCCCCCUCUUUUAUUUGUUCCUGGGUCCGCCACUGACCGAAGGUGUUCUUUGCAGCCAUCUUAUGGCACUACUUGAACCUUAUUCCGCUGUGUUUUAUUCGACUUUCGAUGUGGUUGUAUCACUUAUGAACUCAAGUUAAAAUCUGAACUAUGUGUUAUAUCUGUUGUAUGUGUGUGUUUGAGUUGUGAUGUAUCAAUCUUAGGAUAUGUGUGCAUGCUUGGCAUCUUGGGAAACAUGUGAAUCAUAUCCCGCCGUGUCGAUUAUGUGUUCUGCUAUAUCAUGUUGUAUUAUGUUCAUUGCUGGCUGAAUGUUGCUAUGAUCUGUCGUUAUGUCGAUAGAGAGCAAGUUCGGGUUUCGAAUGCAACAAUGAGCUUAAUCCUA
Long non-coding RNA from Brachypodium distachyon (stiff brome), 3782 nucleotides. RefSeq lists it as uncharacterized. Lineage: Eukaryota; Viridiplantae; Streptophyta; Magnoliopsida; Poales; Poaceae. The record is from RefSeq and is a predicted model, not a curated record. The transcript is spliced from 4 exons.